GUCCCCUUCGUCUAGAGGCCUAGGACACCGGGUUUUCAUCCCGGCAACAGGGGUUCGAAACCCCUAGGGGACGCCA
RNAcentral lists this transfer RNA (76 nucleotides) under Pseudohongiella spirulinae. RNAcentral describes it as "tRNA-Glu". It matches the Rfam family "tRNA". Rfam says of the family: Transfer RNA (tRNA) molecules are approximately 80 nucleotides in length. Lineage: Bacteria; Pseudomonadati; Pseudomonadota; Gammaproteobacteria; Pseudomonadales; Pseudohongiellaceae. The record is from RNAcentral. RNAcentral also lists the same sequence under 18 other names.